AUUGAACGCUGGCGGAAUGCUUUACACAUGCAAGUCGAACGGCAGCACGGACUUCGGUCUUGUGGCGAGUGGCGCACGGGUGAGUAACGUAUGGGAACGUGCCGAGUCGGGGGGUAUAACGUCGUGAAAAUUACUCUAAUACCACAUGCGAUGUAGGGAUGAACGCGGGAGAUCGAAGGACAUCGCGAGAGUGGCGCGGCCGAUAGCAGAUUAGGUAGUUGGUGGGGUAAAAGCCCACCAAGCCAACGAUCUGUAGCUGGUCUGAGAGGACGACCAGCCACACUGGAACUGAGACACGGUCCAGACUCCUACGGGAGGCAGCAGUGGGGAAUUUUGGACAAUAGGCGAAAGCCUGAUCCAGCCAUUCCGCGUGCAGGAUGAAGGCCCUCGGGUUGUAAACUGCUUUUGUACAGAACGAAAAGGUUUCUACUAAUACUAGGAGCUCAUGACGGUACUGUAAGAAUAAGCACCGGCUAACUACGUGCCAGCCGCCGCCGUAA
This 500-nucleotide ribosomal RNA is filed under the name uncultured bacterium. RNAcentral's name for it is "partial 16S ribosomal RNA". It matches the Rfam family "Bacterial small subunit ribosomal RNA", at positions 30 to 523 of the family's 1533-position model. The record is from RNAcentral.